Molecule: unclassified non-coding RNA, 228 nt
Filed under: Archaeospora sp.
Lineage: Eukaryota; Fungi; Glomeromycota; Glomeromycetes; Archaeosporales; Archaeosporaceae
Description: partial contains 5.8S ribosomal RNA and internal transcribed spacer 2
Rfam family: 5.8S ribosomal RNA (bases 1-71)
Source: RNAcentral
GUGAAUCAUCAAAUUUUUGAACGCAUAUUACACCAUCUGGUAUUCCGGAGAGUAUGCCUAUUUGAGGGUCAUUUGAAAUAAUAUAAAUUUCGAGAUUUUCUUGCAAUCAAAAAUGGGUCGGUCUAGCUUUCGUGUGGUGGUCGCCUAAAAUGCAAGACAAGCUCAUUUCUUGGGCUCAGUGUUACUUUCAGUUACCUCCUGCCUGCACAAGAAAUCUUCGCGCGGGUU